RNAcentral lists this ribosomal RNA (391 nucleotides) under uncultured bacterium. Its description in RNAcentral is "bacterial SSU rRNA". It matches the Rfam family "Bacterial small subunit ribosomal RNA", at positions 28 to 420 of the family's 1533-position model. The record is from RNAcentral.
GACGAACGCUGGCGGCGUGCUUAACACAUGCAAGUCGAGCGGUAAGGCCCUUUCGGGGGUACACGAGCGGCGAACGGGUGAGUAACACGUGGGUGACCUGCCCUCAGCUCUGGGAUAAGCCUGGGAAACCGGGUCUAAUACUGGAUAUGACUCCAUGACGCAUGUUGUGGGGUGGAAAGCCUUGUGCGGCUGAGGAUGGGCCCGCGGCCUAUCAGCUUGUUGGUGGGGUGANGGCCUACCAAGGCGACGACGGGUAGCCGGCCUGAGAGGGCGACCGGCCACACUGGAACUGAGACACGGCCCAGACUCCUACGGGAGGCAGCAGUGGGGAAUCUUGCGCAAUGGGCGAAAGCCUGACGCAGCGACGCCGCGUGAGGGAUGACGGCCUCGG